Molecule: ribosomal RNA, 490 nt
Filed under: uncultured bacterium
Lineage: Bacteria
Description: partial 16S ribosomal RNA
Rfam family: Bacterial small subunit ribosomal RNA
Source: RNAcentral
AAUGAACGUUGGCGGCAUGGAUUAGGCAUGCAAGUCGAGCGAGAAGGGUUUUGAAGCUUGCUUUAGAACCCGGAAAGCGGCGCAAGGGAGAGUAACGAGUAGUUAUCUACCCCAAGGCCCGGAAUAGCUGCGGGAAACUGCAGGUAAUGCCGGAUAAUAUCCCCGGAUCAAAGGUGUGAUUCCGCCUUGGGAGGAGACUGCUUUGUACUAGCUAGCUGGUAGGGUAAUGGCCUACCAAGGCUACGAUGCAUAGCGGGCGUGAGAGCGUGGCCCGGCUCACGGGGACUGAAACACUGCCCAGACACCGACGGGUGGCUGCAGUCGAGAAUCUUCGGCAAUGGGCGAAAGCCUGACCGAGCGAUGCCGCGUGCGGGAUGAAGGCCCUCGGGUUGUAAACCGCUGUCGUAGAGGAGAAAGGUCUGAUGAAGAAUCAGAUUUGAUCUAUUCUAGGAGGAAGUCGGGGCUAAGUUUGUGCCAGCAGCCGCGGUAA